RNAcentral lists this ribosomal RNA (492 nucleotides) under uncultured bacterium. RNAcentral describes it as "bacterial SSU rRNA". It matches the Rfam family "Bacterial small subunit ribosomal RNA", at positions 382 to 884 of the family's 1533-position model. The record is from RNAcentral.
CCUGAUGCAGCGACGCCGCGUGAGGGAUGACUGCCUUCGGGUUGUAAACCUCUUUCAGCAGGGACGAAGCGAAAGUGACGGUACCUGCAGAAGAAGCACCGGCCAACUACGUGCCAGCAGCCGCGGUAAUACGUAGGGUGCAAGCGUUGUCCGGAAUUAUUGGGCGUAAAGAGCUCGUAGGCGGCUCGUCGCGUCGGCUGUGAAAACCUGGGGCUCAACCCCGGGCCUGCAGCCGAUACGGGCGAGCUAGAAUUCGGUAGGGGAGACUGGAAUUCCUGGUGUAGCGGUGAAAUGCGCAGAUAUCAGGAGGAACACCGGUGGCGAAGGCGGGUCUCUGGGCCGAUAUUGACGCUGAGGAGCGAAAGCGUGGGGAGCGAACAGGAUUAGAUACCCUGGUAGUCCACGCCGUAAACGUUGGGAACUAGGUGUGGGCCACAUUCCACGUGGUCUGUGCCGCAGCUAACGCAUUAAGUUCCCCGCCCUGGGAGUACG